CGCUACUUACGCCGAGACUUGGAAAUUUUGCCAGGUGGUGUGUAAAACCUGGCGAAGGUUUCGUCAGACCUUGGUAUAGGGACG
RNAcentral lists this microRNA precursor (84 nucleotides) under Cordylochernes scorpioides. The record is from RNAcentral. Lineage: Eukaryota; Metazoa; Arthropoda; Arachnida; Pseudoscorpiones; Chernetidae.